UGGGCUGGAGUCGGCGACUCCUAUAUGUAUUGAUGACUCUUCUGCGCACCGCCCUGCACCAUUGGUCGUGAGCGCAGAAGGACGAAUCGUAUCGGGACUGAGCCCGAACCAAGGUCCUUCUCUGAAGAGAAAGAGAAGGCGCACCACUGGCAAGGGCAAAGUGCAUGUGCCCGAGGAAAGCGAAGGGGUCCCUCCUCCUCUAAACAUAAACAUCGAGGAGCCUAUGAUUGUGGACCGUGGUGCACCCAUUCCACGACGACGGGCAGGUCGGCGUGCCGAAAGAACUCCGCCACCUCCCGUGGAUCUGAAUGCCAGUCGAGACCCAGACCUCGACUUGAACACAUACAUUGGAGCUGUGAACCCCUCUGGGUUCGCUCAUUGCGAAAUCGCCUUGAAUGGCGUGCCAAGGUUGCUACCUGUCGGCCGUUCUGGAGACGGCGAAUACGAGUAAGUGAUGACCCACGCAACCUUGGACGGGUCUGAUGGAGUGAAUCCCCCCUCUAAU
RNAcentral lists this long non-coding RNA (505 nucleotides) under Zostera marina. RNAcentral's name for it is "long non-coding RNA (ZMAR_LNC000273)". Lineage: Eukaryota; Viridiplantae; Streptophyta; Magnoliopsida; Alismatales; Zosteraceae. The record is from RNAcentral.